AUACAUUAGGAAAAUACUACAAUUAUAAACACCUAACAACAGAGCUCCAAAAUACAUAAAAGUGGCAGAAUUGGAAGGAGUAAUAGACAAUUUAAAAAAAAUUAUGGAUUUUAAUUGGAGGAUAAUUACUUUACAAUAUUGUGGUUUUUGCCAUACAUCGACAUGAAUCAGCAUGAGUGAACAUGUGUCCUGCAUCCUGAACUCCCCCUCCCACCUCCUUCCCCACCCUAUCCGUCUGGGAUGUCCCAGAGCACUGGCUUUUGAGUGCCCUGCUUCAUGCAUCAAACUUGCACUGGUCAUAUACUUUACAUAUGGUAACAUUCAUAUUUCAGUGCUCUUCUCUUAUAUCAUUCCACCCUUGCCUUCUCCCACAUAGUCCAAAAGUCUGUUCUUCGUAUCUGUGUCUCUUUUGCUGCCUUGCAUGUAGGAUUGUCAUUAUCGUCUUUCUAAAUUCCAUCUUUUUAUUCACAGAUUCAGCAAACAUUUGGUGAAUGUUUCUUCUUAAGGGGUUCUAAAUCAAAUGGGGAAAGGGAGUUAUGAAGUAAUAAUUGCAGUAUAAUAAAUGUGUUCUGAAGUUUUCUGAACAUAAAAGAGAAUCUGACAUCUAAACAAACAAUUCUUCACCAAAGGGGAUUAAACACCUACUAUUUGUCUGCCCCCUCCAUAGAUUAACUCAGUGGAUUCUCAGAAUCUUUUGUUCACCUUAUAGGUGUUCCUGGGUUCCACAACCAGCAAGUGACUGAGGCAUCACUUCAUCCAAUUCUUCUGACUUUAGACUCUUCUGCACUCUCAAGUGUUGGAUACCUGCCACAGGUAACUGUCUCCUAGGGCUUAACUCUGCUCAUAUAUAAGAUUGGUGAACAGUUUGGUUUAAAAAGGUUGUACUGAUUAUAACUAAUACCCUGGGGGCCUUUAGAGGAAAACAAGCCAGGGUUUAUUGGCCUCACAUGACUCUUUUAGUCUUAGAAACUAGCUUCUGUUCUAAGGAAGCCUGGUUUCCCCAUCUUGCACCUGGUUCUCAGCCCCACAUAGCCAGGCUCCAGCAGCUGGCCCUAAAGGGAGGUGCAAACACAGGCUCCAACUUGCAGCUUACCCAUGAUCUGGACAUUGGCUUUGGAUCAGCUCAGCCUGCAGGGCUUUGUUUAAUUAUUGCAAACCUGCUGACUUUUUUUUUUUUUAAAGUACUGGAUACUUAAAGUUCAGUAAAGAAUCUGGAAGAAGGAGUAAA
This 1228-nucleotide long non-coding RNA is filed under the name Bos grunniens (domestic yak). RNAcentral describes it as "lncRNA (ENSBGRG00000006235.1)". Lineage: Eukaryota; Metazoa; Chordata; Mammalia; Artiodactyla; Bovidae. The record is from RNAcentral.